CACACACACACACUCCCAUAAGUGACUGAGACUCGCCCCCUCAGACGCACUGCACAGAUCCCAGGGGAUUUGCGUCUCUCCGGCAGCCGGGCUCUCUGGGGCCAUGGGGGGCCCUGGGGCAGAACACGGGGUGCUGGUAGCGGCACUGCUGACAAUCCUGGCUUCUGCUCUGCUGAUCCCAGAGACCUUCUCCCUGCGCUGUCACAGCCACAGCUCCGUCCUGCUCCGCGACCGGGGGGGUAAACGCCUCGACAGCAUCAUCACCCCCAAUGGCACCGAGUCCUGCGCCCCGGACCACAGCACCUGUAUGGAAGCUGCCAUCACCCUCAGCGCAGGGGGCAUGUCUGUGACUCUGAUCCAAAGGGGGUGCAGAGCUGGACACCCCAAGGGAGGGACCGAACCCCCCGCUGCGCCCAGCAGAUUCCUCCACAUCCAAGUCGAUGUCCACUACUGCCAGUCGGACCAGUGCAAUGCCAUGGGACUGGGGCUGGGGAGCCCCAGCCAGGGCACAGCUCCGGCCCCGAGCGGCCCCACCCAGUGCUACGCUGGCCUGAGCCUCAGCCCCCAGCCCCACACUCUGGAGCAGGUGACGUGUGACGGUGACAACGCCCGCUGUUACCACGGCAACGGCACCCUCACAGCAGGGAAGCUCGUGGUGCCCAUCUUCGUGUGGAGCUGCCAGGCCCCAUCCUGCGCCGUGCCCCCCAUCCGCCACGUCGGUCCCCUGCAGCUCAGCCAGGCCGGCGCCUGCUGCACCGGCAGCUACUGCAACGGGCAGAGAGCCCUGGCCCAGGUCUCCGUCCACCACAAAAUCUCCUCCGUUCCCGUCAGCUACAAUCCUCUCGCCUACGCCAUGGCCAGGAAAGACCACAAGCAGCCCGGGCGCAGCCACGGCACGGCGCCCACGGAGCCGCGUGACCCAGACGACCACACGGAGACAGACUAUCCGGACAGAGACGUCACCAGCUCCUACGACCGCACGGAGACAGACUAUCCGGACCGAGACGUCAACGGCUACAACAGCACGGAGCUACCCAACCCCCGCUACAAGGGGGACCUGCCCCCCAGCACCCGCCCCCGCUCCCACCCCACCGAGCCUGGCAAGAAAAUCGGCUACCCCAAAUCCACCGUCCGCCCCCCCCACAAGCAACCCAAUCCCGGGGCCCACGGCUCCCAGGCACCCGGCCUACACCUCUGCCCUCUGCUGGUGGUGCUGGGAAUAGCCUGCCUGGGGCUGUGAUGGGGGGCUGGGGGCCAGGACGCCUGAGUUCUAUCCCCAGCUCUGGGAGAGGAGUGGGGUCUAGUGGGUUGGAGCAGGGGACUGGGAGUCAGGACUCCUGGGUUCUCUCCUCAGUUCUUAGUAGCUAUGAGGAAGUCACUCCCCCUCCCCACCACAUUACAUGCCUCAGUUUCCCCACAUUUAAAGGGAGGGCUCCCAAUGAUGGGGGGGUCGUGCCCCAUUUUCCUGAAUUGCUGCUGCUGCUUUCAGUCCACAUUAACCCUUUGUGGGGCCCCCUGUCCUGCGCUUCCCCCACACACACACACACAAACCCCCUAUCCUGUUUUUAAUAAAGUCUCUUACUCACAAACCCUUGCA
RNAcentral lists this long non-coding RNA (1597 nucleotides) under Gopherus agassizii (Agassiz's desert tortoise). Its description in RNAcentral is "lncRNA (ENSGAGG00000000515.1)". Lineage: Eukaryota; Metazoa; Chordata; Testudines; Testudinidae. The record is from RNAcentral.